GUAUAAUUGGUGGUCGCUUGUAAUGUGAUAGAUGCCAUUGGAAAGGAAAGAAGGUUUAAUGGAUUGAAGCUUGAAUGGGGUUUUGAUCAGUUCAUCCCGCUUAAAGCUUUCAACGAUGCUUCAAAUGGAUACCUUUGUUGAAGUCAACAAAUUGUUGGUGCACCAACAAUUUGUUGAAAAAUUGAAAAAUAAUAAUAAUUAAAAAUUAUAUUUUUAAUUAUUUUAUUCUUAGCAUAGUAAUUCAUUUCUCCUAUAAAUAGCUAAGGAUUUCAUUCAUUUGAAAUUAUCCCAAAAUUUUUAAGCUUAUAAGUUUUUAAGCUUUUGAGAGAAGUGAGAGAAGUGUGUCUGGGGAAUUUAUCUUUCCUGCAGAGUGUGAGAGUACUGGGUAUAUUUGAGUUUCUGGGAAGUAAGAUUCGUUACUCAAAUAUUGUAUUCUAUUAAUUGUUAAAUAAACAAUUAUUCUUUCUUGCCUCCGUGGAUGUAGGUUUAAUUACCGAACCACGUAAAUUCUUGUGUCCUUUAUUUUUUCAGUAAUUUUUUUGUGUGCUUGAUUCCGCAUUCCACGCACAACAAGUGGUAUCAGAGCCGACGGUUCGUACUUGGGGGGAUACGGUACUGUUCACGUAUACGGUACUAUUCCUGUAUACGGUACUGUUCACAUACGGUCCUGUUCACGAAUACGGUGGAGACGGCCAUUUGUACUUGGGAGACAGUCUAUUGUAAGUAGUGUGUAUUUUUACAUGUCUAGGAAAGUUCUGUCAAAAAAGGCGAUAAGAGUCUAAGGAUUUUGGUUUUUAAUUGGGACCGAGUUCCCGUCCAGUUUCCUGGGAACUUUCCUGGUGCAUUUAUUUACGCGAAAUUAACAUCAUAGAGGCUGUUUUUCAAGUGGAAAUAGUUCGUUGAGAAAAAUGGUAGAAGGUGAAACUUCUAGAAUUGGGGAGAGAUCUACCGAGACUAUUUUAGGAGACACUUCAGGUGGGAGGCGAGAUUUGUCAAAUCGCUAUUCAGCACCUAUUAUAGGAGGCCAGAAGAUCGAUGUUGAAAAGUUUGAUGGGAAAAUCAACUUCGGCAUGUGGAGGCGCGAAGUUAUGGAUGCCCUUAUUCAAAUCGAUCUCGAUGUUGUUCUGAAAAAUAAAAGACACUUGUAUGAUGAAGAAAUUUGGGAUCGUAUGAACGAGAAAGCCUGUGGUCAGAUCAGAUCUUGUUUGACCAAGGAGGUGAAAUACUUGGUGAAAGAUGAGGAGUGUGCAGUGACUUUGUGGCGUACAUUGGAAGAGAAGUACCUGGUGAAAAGUCCUGAAAAUCGUCUUCAUGCAAUGAGCCAAGUAUAUGGCUUUCGAAUGAAGUCUGGGGUGUCAAUGCACGAUCAUGUUUCAAGAUUUGAAAAGUUACUUGCUGAUUUGAAGAAUCUUGAUGAAGAUAUUAAAGAUGAAGUCAAGGCUAUGAUUCUGUUACACUCACUACCAGAGGAAUAUAGCCAUUUUGUGACUACUUUGAUAUAUGGGAAGAGUGUGAUCGUCUUUAAAGAUGUUUGCACAGCAUUGACUAGCUUGGAGAUUCGGAAUAAUGAUAAAAAUUCUGAACGAGCAUCGUCUGAAGAUUUGGUGAGCAAAGAUUGGGCGAAGGAGAAACAGAAGAAGCGUGGUGGAAAGAAUUCUCGAUCCAAAUCGAGAAGCAGAAAUAUAGCUCGAGAUGAGUGUGCCUUUUGUCAUGAAAAGGGCCAUUGGAGGAAAGAUUGUCCAAAGGCUCAAAAGAGAGAUGGGAAGAAACCAGCAGCAGCAAACAUGGCACGGAAAGAUGAGGGCUCUGAUUAUUCACUAAGUAUUACUCCUGCAGCAUACGUGGCUAGUUCGAGCGAGUGGAUACUUGAUACUGGAUCAACCUAUCAUUUGUGUCCUAUUAAGGAAUGGUUUACGGAUUUUCGUAAUCUGGAAUCCGGUGCAGUUGUGAUGGGGAAUGAUCAACCUUGUCGCACAAUGGGGAUAGGAACAAUUCGGCUCAAAAUGUUUGAUGGAAUGGUCAGAGAACUCAAAGAGGUUAGAUUUGUUCCAGCUUUAAAGAAAAAUCUAAUUUAUGUGGGUGCUUUGGAAGCUAAAGGCUAUAAGGUUACCAUUGAAGAUGGUAUAAUGAAGUUUACACAUGGGGUUAUGGUGAUUCUGCAAGGGGUUCGGCGUCACAAUCUGUACUAUUUGAAGGGAGGUACAACUGAUGAAGCAAAUGUUGUUGAGGCGCACAGUGACACCACCAAGCUAUGGCAUGUACGACUGGGACAUGCUGGAGAGAAGUCUUUGCAAACUCUGAUGAGGCAUGGACUCUUAAAAGGUACCAAAACCUGUAAAUUAAAUUUCUGUGAGCAUUGUGUAGUAGGCAAGAAAACAAGGGUCAAGUUUGGUACAGCUAAUCACAAUACUCGUGAGAUCCUUGAAUAUGUUCAUAGUGAUGUAUGGGGACCAACCAAAACUGCAUCAAUUGGUGGAAGCCAUUAUUUUGUUACAUUUGUUGAUGAUUUCUCUAGACGUGUGUGGGUGUACACCAUGCGAGCAAAGGAUGAGGUUCUAGAGAUUUUCGUGAAAUGGAAGAAAUUGGUGGAGACUCAAACUGGCAGAAAGAUCAAAGUAUUACGAUCUGAUAAUGGGGGUGAAUAUACUUCUGAUCCAUUCUUGUAAGUAUGCCAGAACGAGGGUAUUAAAAGACAUUUCACGGUGAGACAUACUCCGCAACAGAACGGUGUGGCUGAGCGUAUGAAUCGUACUUUACUGGAGAAGGUACGAUAUAUGUUAUCUAAUGCUGGUUUAGAUAAAAAGUUUUGGGCUGAAGCUGUGAGCUACGCAAGUCACUUGGUAAACCGGUUGCCUUCUGCUGCAAUUGGAGGUAAAACUCCUAUGGAAAUGUGGUCUGGAAAGUAUGCACAAGACUAUGAUUCCCUUCGUGUAUUCGGGUGUCCAGCUUAUUAUCAUGUCAAAGAUGGUAAACUGGAUCCUCGUGCUAGAAAAGCUAUCUUUGUGGGAUUCAAAGGUGGAGUAAAGGGCUUCAAGCUUUGGGAUCUCGAAGACAAAAAGUUUGUGUGUAGUAGAGAUGUUACAUUUGAUGAAGCUUCAAUGAUGAAAGCUUCAAGUUCUCAGCAGGUGGAGAACAAGACCAAAGAGGUAUUGCAGCGGGUGGAGUUUGAUGCAACUCCAUAUGUACCAGUUAGUUCUACAUCAAAGAAUGGUUCAACUAUGGAGGUGACACCUAGAGUUGAAGAAGAGGUUGUUUCUUCUGAUGUCCCACAAAAUGAAGAAACAAUUGAUGAUGUAGAAAAUGAUGAUUUUAUAGCAACAAGGAGGCCAAGAAGAGAGAUAAAGAAACCCGGAUGGCUUACUAAAGAUAUGGUGGUAGCCUAUGCACUUCCAGUUAUUGAUGAUGACAUCCCCAACACUUUCGGUGAAGCAUUACGCAGCAGUGAAAGUGAUCAGUGGAAGUUAGCCAUGGAAGAAGAGAUGAAAUCUCUCCAUCAAAGCCAGACUUGGGAACUUGUAAAGUUACCAAAGGGGAAAAGGGUUAUUGGCAAUAAAUGGGUCUACACCAAAAAGCAAGGAUCUCCGAAUCAAACAACUCCUCGAUACAAGGCAAGGCUCGUGGCAAAAGGUUUUGCUCAAAAGGAAGGUAUUGACUACAAUGAAGUUUUCUCUCCAGUUGUAAAACAUACUUCCAUUCGUAUCCUACUUGUCUUAGUUGCAGAAUAUGAGUUAGAGUUGGCUCAAUUGGAUGUUAAGAUGGCGUUCUUACAUGGAGAUUUGGAGGAGGAAAUCUAUAUGAUUCAGCCUUGUGGUUUCAGAGUUGCUGGAAAGGAGAAUCAUGUGUGUAGGUUGAUUAAAUCUUUGUACGGACUGAAGCAAUCGCCAAGGCAAUGGUACAAAAGAUUUGAUCAAUUUAUACAAGGGCAGAAAUUCACUAGAAGUGAACACGAUCAUUGUGUUUACUUUAGAAGACUACUAGAUGGAGCUUUCAUCUAUUUGUUACUCUAUGUCAACGAUAUGCUUAUAGCUUCGAAGAAUGGAGAUGAGAUCAAAAGAUUAAAGAAACAGUUGGCUUCUGAGUUCGAGAUGAAAGACUUGGGUGAUGCACAGAGAAUACUUGGGAUGGAGAUUCGUAGAGACAAGAAGAAUGGGAGCGUAUGGUUGACUCAAAAGUCUUAUUUGAAGAAAGUACUAGAAAGAUUCGGUAUGGAUGACAAAACUAAACCGGUAUGUACACCUCUAGCUCCUUAUUUCAAAUUAAGCUCUUCUUCAUAUCCUAGAUCUCAAGAGGAGCGCGAUUACAUGGCUCGUGUUCCAUAUGCUAGUGCUGUGGGUAGUCUUAUGUAUGCUAUGGUAUGCACAAGGCCCGAUAUAUCUCAAGCUGUGAGCAUGGUUAGUAGAUACAUGCACAAUCCGGGUAAAAAUCAAUGGCUUGCGGUAAAGUGGAUUCUCCGAUAUCUGUAUGGGACAGUUGAUGUUGGGUUAUUGUUCAAGAAGGAUUGUGGUCAACAAUGUGUUGGGUAUUGUGAUUCUGAUUUCGCUGGAGACCUUGACAAGCGAAGAUCAACAACGGGCUACGUAUUCACAUUGGGUGGAGGUCCGGUUAGCUGGAGAUCGAUUCUACAAUCGACAAUUGCUUUGUCCACUACGGAAGCAGAGUAUAUGGCAGCAACUGAAGCUGUAAAAGAAGCUAUCUGGUUGAAAGGCUUGUUAGGUGAUUUGGGAGUAAUCCAGGAGAACAUUGCGGUCUUUUGUGAUAAUCAAAGUGCGAUAUUCCUUGCGAAGAAUCAAACAUAUCACGCUCGGACGAAGCACAUAGAUGUGAAAUAUCAUUAUGUGAGAGAGAUUAUCGAGAGCGGUGUUGUGUUGUUGAGAAAGAUCGAUACCAAAGAUAAUCCAUCAGAUAUGUUGACGAAGGUAGUUUCUGGAGUUAAGUUUCAACAUUGCUUGAAAUUAAUUCAAAUCCUUCGAUUGUGUUAAGAUAUGUCCUUCCGGAAUUUUGAACUACGGUUGGCUUGAUCCCAAAUUUUGGGUACGUAAGCAGUCAAAAAGAUGCAGUCACUUUGGGGAUGAUGACUCGUUGGUAGUCGGCUCAGAUUUGAAAAAUUUUUGCCGAGGUGGAGAUUUGUUGAAGUCAACAAAUUGUUGGUGCAAAUUUGUUGAAGUCAACAAAUUGUUGGUGCACCAACAAUUUGUUGAAAAAUUGAAAAAUAAUAAUAAUUAAAAAUUAUAUUUUUAAUUAUUUUAUUCUUAGCAUAGUAAUUCAUUUCUCCUAUAAAUAGCUAAGGAUUUCAUUCAUUUGAAAUUAUCCCAAAAUUGUUAAGCUUAUAAGUUUUUAAGCUUUUGAGAGAAGUGAGAGAAGUGUGUCUGGGGAAUUUAUCUUUCCUGCAGAGUGUGAGAGUACUGGGUAUAUUUGGGUUUCUGGGAAGUGAGAUUCGUUACUCAAAUAUUGUAUUCUAUUAAUUGUUAAAUAAACAAUUAUUCUUUCUUGCCUCCGUGGAUGUAGGUUUAAUUACCGAACCACGUAAAUUCUCGUGUCCUUUAUUUUUUCAGUAAUUUUUUGGUGCGCUUGAUUCCGCAUUCCGCGCACAACAACCUUGUCGAGGAUACCUGUGUUUUUGGAGCUGAAGUCUUUGUUAAAGAAAGAAACAUAGUCAAAGGAGAGUGCCUAUCCAUGGAAAAAUAUGCAUAUAGUUCUAAGUAUGUUUGGAAGGUUGAAAACUUUUCAAAGUUGGACAAAGGACGUCAGGAAUCACAAGUGUUCUGUGCUGGAAAUCAGAAAUGGUAUCAAAGAUUCAAUUUUUUUUUUAUUUAAAUCAGAUUAUAGAUGUAAAUACGUUCUUGAAUCUUGAGGCAAGGUUUUCGGUGAAUGUACAAUUGAAUUCCAUAUCAUUCUGUUCAGGAAGAUAGAGCUCCACCCCAUGGGAACCGGCGUUGGUGCUGGCGAUCAUCUUUCUCUGUUCUUGGCUUUGGGAGAUUCCACAGUUGAGUCUGUGAAAGUAUAUGCAGAGUUCACAUUGCGAAUCUUGGAUCAAGUGGGGGCAAAACAUCGAUCUUUUCAAGGUAAAAUGUCUGUCUUUACAUGUAAUUAGUAAGUCAUCUUAAUUAAUUGAAGGCAAAUCCAAAUAAUAUUACGAGAAUGCUCGUUUUACUCUAGCAGCUAAAUACUGGUUCCGUAGACCAAGCGAUGGCUGGGGCUGGCCAAGGUUCGUUUCAUUGAGUAAGUUAAAUGAGCCAGGGACUGGGUUUCUAGUGAAUGACGCUUGCGUGGUGGAAGCUGAGGUCACUGUACUUGGAAUUUUCAAGCCAUUAUAACAAUUAAUUAAUUGGUUUUUUUAUCGUGCGAUGCUGUCUGCCUGGCCAGUCUAGGAAAUUUAUUUCUCUUGUGGUUGCCAAAAUAUGGUUAUGUAGUUUACUGUUUCUGCUGUCCAACUAAAUUUUUAGUGUGAUUUGAGUGCUAUGCAUUUCUUAAGAGAUAAGCUUCAUUAUAUCCCUAAGCCGUAAUUCUUCUCUUCUAAGAUUUUAUUUUAUUUUAAUUUUUUUAAACGAAGUAAUUGGUACAAAGAAAAUUGGGAUGCAAGAGAACUAAUAAUUCCACGUACUAAAAGAAUGAAAACCAAGUAUAGUAGAGCUUUGUUAAAUCAAUAUUCAAUAAAUUGAUAACUUCAAUUAAAUAAUAAUUUUUAUCGGUAUUAGCUUGGAGCUUGUAUGAUAAAUUAAUAAUUUGAUAAAUUUAUUAAAAUAUAAUUUUAAAAAAAUCUUAUUUUCGUACAACACUCAGUUAAUACAUAAUUGAAUAAUUAAUUAAUUUACAGCUAAAUACAUUGAUAUGUUUAUGAUUUUCUUUAUUGUUCUGACAUAAUGUUUUUUAUCAAUCAUUAUUGUUUUUUACCACCUUUAAGAUGUGCUGUAUUAAGAGAAAUAAGACAGUGCUCAUUGCUUUCAAAGAGUCUCUUUUGAUGAGUUACCAUAUAAUCGUAAUUCAGUUAGCCAAAAGAUUAUCGAAUGACUGAUUUACUCAAUUAAGAUCAAAUCAAAAUCAUAUCACACAACAUGACAGAAUCACUAAAUUCUUUAAUAGGUUACCUAUAUACUUCAUAAAAAAUCUUAUUAUGAACGUGAUAAUAUUUUAAUAAAAGUAAAUUGAUAAUUUAUUAAUUUAUCGAUAUAUUAAUAUUCUUUAAAUUAAUAUAUUUUUCAUGGUUUUAAAUACUAUUAAUUUACGAAGGUUCUAUUUUAUAUAUCAUUACAAUAGAGUAUCAGCCACUUUGUUACCUAUCCAUUGAGUGAAGCAGCUGAAGACAAUUAAACCAAUCAAUGUGAAGCCCUGCCAUUGAGGAGAGUAAAUCAAAUUCAGAUCAUCAAAGUCAGCAAAAUUAUAAAACCGCUUGUAAGACAACUGUUUUUUUUUUCCUAGGAUUCUUUAUAUUUAGAUGUUACUUGACUUUUUUUUUUUUUAAUGCAAAUUGCUGAAAUGACUUGAUUCUACAAGAAAAUUGGGAUCCUGGUUGUAGUUUGAGUUCGAAUUAAUAGAGUGAAUUUAAUUAACAAAUCCAAUCACAUGGAAUAUCAGCUAAUCAAUGAUUUGGGGUCAUCUUCAUGUAACAGACGCCAUGGGAAAUGAAAGAAGCUUGAAUUAGGUUUUGAUCAAUUCAGAAUUUAACGAUGCUUCGAAUGGAUAUCUUGAAGGACAUACGUGUGUUUUUGGAGCUGAAGUCUUUGCUAAGAAAGGAACAACUUCUAUGCACCUGGUAUUUGGCUGACUUCUCAACUGUAACUCGUGGUUUUAAAAAUACCUUCGUUUCACACUGCAAAUCCAGGAUCAAGUGCAUCCAAAGCAUAAUCAUAAAACUUUACCCUUGUUAUUAUUAACCCAAACUUUAAUAGGUAUUCAAGUUCAUCAAUAAGCGUAGUAGCUAAAUACAGAUAACUUCAGGUUUCUAUUGCUGUUCCUGCAGCCAGUACAUGGUUUAGGAACUCAAUCGAAGAUUGGGGCUGGCACUAAUUUGUUGAACUCAGUUACUUGAACAAGGCAAGAAAUGACUAGUCAUCCUGGUCCGCAUUUUCUGUUUUUAGUUUCACUAUCAACAAAAAGAAUGAAAGACUCUUUAAAUAAAAUAUAAAACAAGCCUCAAAGAUUGUACAAAUUAUAUAGCUCAAAGAGAAUUUUAAAUUGUCAAAAUUCUAACUUUAAUAUAAGAAUAAACCCCAUCUCUCUUUCAAUUUUUAUAAUUCCCAAAAUCCUCAGCUUUUCUUUGAAUAAAGAAAAAGAGUACGUCAAACUAAUCUCAUUAUCUUAAUCUCUAUUUUUUUUUAUACAGGCAUUUAUGUGUAUUUUCUUUGUAUUUUUCUUUUCAACAUAUUCAUAUAUAUAUAUAUAUAUAUAUAGGGUUAGGAACUUUCACUCUACUCCUUAUGGUAAUCUUUUUCUCAAUGUAAAUUUUCCUCAAUAUACUAAUGGUACAAAGACCAAACUACUAAAAAAUAACUUUACUCUUAAUGGUUAAAGGUAAUCAUUUCAGACUAUAGUACCUUUUAUGCUACAUUUUAUUGUGGAGGUAAGAAUCGAGGCAUGAUUACAAUGCUUCGUCUCAUUCAUUAUGGAACUAAAUUAUUCUUCGUUUACCUUUUAUGUUUGCUUAUGGAGUUUUUUUCGUAGCUGUAGCAUUUUCCUUUGUUCAAUUUCCGAGAGGCUUUGCAUUCGGAACAAUUCCUCUUUACCGUUUUGAAUCUUUGCUUUAUUGCUUUACAGAAUUAUUUUCUAAGCUUAUCACGACUAGGGAAUUAUUCCUUUAAGCUGAGAAGGGAUCAUUAUUAUUGGGGAAUUAUUCCCCUAAGAAUACAAGGAAUUAUUCCUGUAGGGGAAUUAUUUCCUUAUGAUUAUGGGGGAUAAUUUUUGCUGGGGAAUUACUCUCCCUAGGGAAUUAUUUCCUGAAGCUUAUAGCAUAUUAUUCAUGCCGAGGAAUUAUUUCCCUAUAUGUAUAGGGAAUAGCUUUUGCUAGGGACUUAUCUCCCUAUGCUUAUAGGGAGUCAUUUUUUUUUGUGAAUUAUUCUUGCUAUGGAAUUGUUUCCUUAUGCUUAUUGGGAAUUAUUCUUGUUGGGGAAUUAUUUCCCUAUGCUUAUGGGGAAUAAUUUUUGUUGGGGAAUUAUUCUUAUUAGGGAAUUAUUUCCUUAACCUUAUAGGGAAUUAUUCUUAUUAGGGAAUUAUUCUCUAAAGCUUAGAGUUAAUUAUUCUUACUGGCGAAUUAUUUCCUUAACCUUAUAGGAAAUUAUCAUUGUUGGGAAUUAUUCCUUUAAGCUUAUAGGGAAUUAUCAUUUUGAUAAAAUGGUGUUGCAUUUGAAUGUAUCAAGGAUUUUCUGAAUAAUGUAAGCAUUCAUCAUUGAUAUAUCAAACGGCAAGCUUGGAAUAACGUUGAUAUAUACAUUGGCAUAGAUUUCGACUUCGGACUUUUGACUACCAUAUCAUCAAUGUAAGCUUCCACAAUAUUCCUCAACAAUCCAUUGAAGAUUUUAGUCACAAGCCUUUGAUAGCUGGAACUAGCGUUUUUCAACCUGAAAAGGCAUGAGUUUGUAGCAAAAUAGAGCUCUUGGAGUGAUAAAGCUUAUUUUUUCCACAUGCUUUGGAUGCAUCGGGAUUUGUUGUUUCCGCUGUAUGCAUCCAAAAGGGAAAGCCUUUAGUAGGUAGUGGUAGCAUCCACUAAUUGGUCAAUUUUUGGCAAGGGAAAGGAUCCUCCGGACAGGCUUUGUUAAGGUUUGUGUAAUCUAUGCAUACUGGCCAUUUUUUUUCACACCACAACAACAUUAGAGUUCAAUUCAGGGUAUUGAACAUCCUAAAUGAAUCAAACCUUGAAGAGGCGUUCCAUUCCAUUUCUGAGCAAAUCUCCCAUGUUUUUGUUGCACUAGUUUUACCAUUGGGUCAAUUGUUAAUUGGUGGUAUGCAACUUCUGGAUAUAUUCAUAGCAUGUUUGUGUGACCAUGCAAAAGCAUCGUACUUCCUCUUGAGUAGGAAAAUCAUAAGUCUUUUCCACUUGAGCCAAUUUGCACCCUUUUUCUGAGGCUAAAGGAUCAAGGGAUAUUGUUUCUAGUUCUUCAAUGACAAGCUCCUUGUAGUGCAAGCAUCGAGACAUUCAAUUUGGCAUUGGAUCUUACAGUUGUUAUUUAGCCCCAUCCUCCACCAAUUGUUGUGGUGAAGGAAAGGUUCCUCAAUAAGUCUAUGUUCUAAAGAUGAGAACUAUCUCAUUUCCUCUAUUGUCAGCUUUUUCUUGUUCUCCAGAACGAGUUCUGAUCUAAAUGUUCCUUUGCAAGGUUUGAUGAUGACAAUUGCCAUCAUUUGAUCUUCUUCUAUAUUAAAUGUCCCCCUCCCUAUUUGAGAAACACCACAGACACUUAGUACAGUGUUGCGAAAACCGACUCUAUAUAGUAAAGCCAACGUCUCUUUAAUAUUGCAAGGUAGGCCUAUUGGGCAUUAAUGACCAUAAAAUCAACUGAAAUAGUCUUGUCUCUAACUUUUAGUGGGAGGUUGAUUAUUCUUUUUGCCGUUAGCCUUAUUCCCUCAAAGGCUAUAAAAGGGGAAUAUCAUUUUUGUAAAUAGUCUCAUUUUUUGAAAUCAUCCCAAUAAGGAAUCUUUGCCGCUACUUUCCUCAUUAAUAAGAAUAAUUUUAACCACAAAAUUGGUGAUUUUCAGACUUACCACCAAGUGGUCUAUAUGAGGCAUGUCAAUUCUUUCAAAGUCUUUUUGAGAGAAAGUAAGUUAGGCAGGCUCCUUUGAAAUGGACAUAAUAGCAACUAUGAAAGUUUUAAUGAUUUCGUAUCACUAUAUCUUUUGUGCCUGAUAACCAUGACAUUUUUAAACUUAAACCAAUAGUAUUUAGAGAGUAAAUGAUGCAUUUUUAUUACAUUCUUAGUUACAUUUUGUAUGAGCCUGUAUUUAAAUUUUAUUUUGAUAAAUUGGUUGUAUUUUAGAUUACUUUGUGCUCUAAUUAUGUGUGAUUGUGGGGGACAAAAAAGCUUAAGCUUUAUGGAUGGAAAGCUGCAGCAGCAGAGUUGCAGAGAUGACAAAAAAACUUGGCUGCAGAGGAAAUAAAACAAGUCUCAAACAGAGAAGAUGUUGUAGUCAUUACCGGGGAUUGGUUGUUUAUUGUGAUUUAUGAAAUCAGUUUUAGUUGGUGACAAUUUUUAUUUUUCUUUUAAUUUGUCUACUUUGUUGACAGAAGUGCUCUAGCAACCCUUGCAUGUGCAAAUAUAAACUUGUUGAAUUCCAGUUUGAUCUAGAAAUUGAAAGAACUGCAAGGAGAUUGAGAAAAAAAAUAGAGAAAUUUAAAAGUUGUUGUAGACAUGGAUGAUUUGCAAGAUAUAGGGAAUUUCAACCCUCGAGGAGAAAUUGAAUCAGUUAAUGCACAAGGAGGUAAAGAAGGUCAUAAUGGGUCUAUUAUUCAUGGCAACUAGGGAACAACAAUAUUAUCUACAUGGCAGAUGAUAGAGAGAGAGUCAUAAGAGAUUAUGUUGUGCUAACUCCUCAAGCCAUAAAUCCUGAAAUAGUUAGACCUGAAGUGCAAGCUGCUAACUUUGAGCUCAAACCAAUGAUGUUUCAGAUGCUUCAAACAGUAAGGGUAAGGUAAUUUAAUGGUCUACCAUAAGAAGAUCCUUAACGUCACCUUAAGCUAUUUUUGGAAGUAAAUGAUACUUUUAAGAUUGCUAGAGCAUUACAGAAAGCAUUGAGACUCAAACUUUUCCCAUUUUCUCUAAGGGAUCAAGUAAAAACAUAGUUGAACUCUUUGCCACCUAACUUCAUUAUAUAUGGAAUGAUUUGGUUUACAAAUUUUUAAUGAAGCACUUUACACCAACCAAGAAUACAAAUUGAGGAAUAAAAUCACAUUUUUCUAUCAACUCAAAGAUGAAAGCUUGUAUGAUGCAUGAGAAAUAUUUAAAGAGUUACUUAGGAGAUGUCCUCAUUAUGGUAUUCCUUACUAUAUAUAGUUGGAGACAUUUUACAAUGGUCUCAACCCAAGCACUAGAUUGAUAUUGGAUACUUCAGCAAAUGGGGCCUUGUUAUCCAAGUUCUAUAAUGAGGCCUAUGAGAUUUUGCAAAAGGAUAGCUAAUAACAACAGAAGUCCACAAUAUAAACGUCUUUACAGCAUUAUCAGCCCAAGUAACCUCAUUAACAAAUAUAGUAAAGGCUAUGACUACUGCUCUAGCAACUGUUAGCUAAAUUGCUGAUGUAUCUUGUGUUUAUUGUAGAGAAGGGCAUCUAUUUGAUAAUUGUCCUUAAAAUCCAACCUCAGUCACUUAUGUGGGCAACUUUAACAGAACAAUCCUUGCUUAAACAUUUAUAACCCUGGAUGGAGACAACAUUAAAAUUUUUCAUAGAGCAAUCAUAAUCAACAUGUUGUAGUAUCCAGUGGACAGAACAAGCCUGCUCAACCAUUUAGAUUUCACCAGUAAAAUCAAAGGCAAAGAAACACAAGCAAUGAUCAACUAAGUUCUUUUAUAGCUUUGACUAAGGUAUAUAUUGUGAAGAAUGAAGCAAUUGUUUAAUGGCAACCUGUGUAUUUAAGAAACCUAAUAAAUCAUAUUGAACGACUUGCUCCAGCACUAAACAACAGACCUCAAGGCAGUUUACCCAGCAAUAUAGAGAAUCCCAAAGAGAAAGGAAAGAAACAUUGUAAAGUGAUUAAUUUAAGGUUUGGAAAUGAUGUUAAUAUUCCAGUAUGUGCACUAAAAAGAAGAGUUGAACUUUUUUCAACCCAAGAAAAAACUUAAGUGGAAGAGGAACCAUAACAUCCCACUUUUCAACCCACUGAUGUAAACAACCAAGCUACAUGAUCUAUAGAAAAUGAUGAUCCAAUGCCUGUUAGUAAAGAUGAUGCAGCACUAACCACAUCAGUCUACAACAUGGCAAAAGAGAAGUAGUCUAUACAGUCUGCUACAACACAAUAGUUUACGCACCCACCACCCUUUCCACAAAGAUUUUAGAAGCAAAAGUAAGACAAACAAUUUAGCAAAUUCUUCAAAAUCUUGAAGCAGUUACAUAUCAACAUUUCUUUUGUGGAAGCCCUAGAAUAAAUGCUGAAUAAUAUAAAGUUCUUGAAGGACAUGUUGGCAAGAAAAAGAAAGCUUGGAGAGUUUGAAACAAUUGCUCUUACAAAAGAAUGCAGUCAUAUACUUUAUAAUAAAAUCCUUCAGAAGCUAAAGAAUCUAGAAAGUUUUACAAUUUUAUACUUUAUAUGAACUAAAUAUAAUGGUAAAGCACUUUUUGAUUUGAGAGCUAGCAUCAAUCUCAUGCCUUUAUUAGGGUUCAAGCAAUUGGGAGUUGGAGAAGUUAAACCAAUAAUAAUGACUUUACAACUUGUUGACAGAUCUUAUGCCUAUCCAAAAGGCAAGAUUAAAGAUGUAUUGGUAGAGGUGGAUAAGUUUAUUUUUCCAUAGAUUUCAUAGUAUUGGCUUUGAAGUUGAUAAAGAAAUGUCAAUCAUUUAGGUAGACCUCUCUUAGCCACAAGAAAGACUUUAAUUAAUGUGCAAAAAAAGAGAGCUGACUAUGCGGGUUAAUGAUUAGCAAGUUACAUUUAACGUGUUAGAUGCCAUGAAGAGUCAUUAUGAUGCUGAAGACUAUAAUUUUAUCAGUGUUGUAGAUAUUAUUGUAGCAGAGAGGUUAAAUAGUUACUGCAGCAAUGAAGAAAUCAAAGUUAUAACACUUGAAGAACUAGAAGAUGAAGAUCUUCAAAUAGAUGACAUAGCAUGGUUAGGAGAGAAGCAACUCAUGAGAACUGACAAGCACUUUGAAUCUAUAAAUAUCUUAAAUAGGGAAGUAAAAUUGUCUAUUCCCUCUAUUGAGUGGCUUCUUAUUUGAGAAUUAAAAAUUUUACAUUCACAUUUGAAGUAUGUUUAUCUUAGUGACAAUGAUACACUUUCUGUAAUCAUUUCAUCUUCUUUGAAUACAGAACAAAAGAAGAGUUUGGUGGAUGUAUUGGAAAAAUACAAGAACAACAUUAUUUGAACCAUGGCAGAUAUCAAAAGACUUAACCCCUCUGUAUAUAUGCACAAGAUCUUGUUGGAGGAUUAUUACAGCAACUCUGUAGAGUAACAGAAAAGAUUAAAUCCUAUCAUGAAGGAAGUUGUGAAGAAAGAGAUCAUUAAGUGACUUGAUGCUGGAAUCAUUUACCUAAUACUAGACAACUCAUGGGUAAGCACAAUACAAUAUAUUCCAAAGAAAGGUGGAGUAAUAGUUGUAGCAAAUGAAAAAAACAGAUUAUUCCUACAAGAAUAGUAACUGCAAGGGGGGUGCUGAAGGCAGGGCUAGUGAUUGGAGUGAAAUCGUAACAAGGUAGUCGUACUGGAAGGUACGGUUGGACCACCUUCUUUUUAGGGAAAGCUAAUGCUUGUUGGGUGUUUUGGUUUGACACUGGUUCACACCAAAAAAGAAGUGAGUUACGCCUGAGUUAAAGUUAAACAAAACCAUAAAGAAAGAUCACUCCCAUUACCUUUUAUAGACAAAUUUCAGACAUAAGAUCACUCUCAUUACCUUUUAUAGACAAAUUUCAGACAUACUUGCUAGAAAAAAGUGAUAUUAUUUCUUUGAUGGAUACUUAGGCUACAACUAGAUUGCUAUAGCACUAAAGGAUCAGCAGAAGACCACAUUCACUUGUCCUUAUGAAACCUUUACCUUCAGAAGGAUGCAUUUUACCUGUGCAAUGCUCCAGUAACUUUCCAGAGGUGUAUAAUGUCUAUUUUUUAAGAUAUGGUCGAGCAAACACUUGAAGUAUUCUUGGAUGGUUUUUCAUUGUUUGGGGGAUCAUAUGAUGACUUCUUGCAUAAUCUAGAAAAUGUGCUCAAGAGAUGUGAAGAGACAAAUUUAGUAUUGAAUUGGGAAAAGUAUCAUUUCAUAGUACAAGAAGGGAUAAUCCUAGGCCAUAGGGUCUCUAAAAAAGGAAUAGAGGUGGACAAAGGAAAAAUAGAGGUGAUUGAUAAACUUUCACCACAUACUUCAGUCAAAGGCAUAAGGAGUUUCUAAGGACACAUUGGGUUCUAUAGACAGAUCAUUAAGGACUUUUCCAAAAUAGCCAAACAUUUAUGCAUUUUUCUGAUGCAUGACAGACCCUUCAAUUUUAAUGAGCAUUGUUUAAAAGCAUUUAUUGAGUUGAAGAGAGCUCUUGUUAGGGCAUUAGUUGAUGUAAUAUCUAAUUGGAGUAUCUCUUUUGAGUUGAUGUGUAAUGCUGGCGACCAUUUUGUUGGAGCAGUGCUGGGGCAAAGGAAAGAUAAGAUUUUUCACUCCAUUUAUUAUACCAACAAAACUUUAACUAAUGCACAACUCAACUACACUACCACUGAAAAAGAGUUGCAAAUAGUUGUUUUUACAUUUCAUAAAAUCAGAGUCUAUUUGGCUUGCACCAAAGAGACUGUUUAUACAAAUCACUCAAAUAUAAAGUAUUUGAUUUCAAAGACAGAUGCUAAACCAAGGUUGAUUAGGUGGAUUUUGUUACUACAAGAGUUUAACCAAGAGAUUAUGGACAGAAAAGGCACUAAGAAUCAAGUAACAGAUCAUCUCUCAAGGCUGAAAGUAGAGGCAAGCACUUUAACUAAGCAUGACAUAACAAAAACUUUUCCUGAUGAGUAAUUAUUGAUAAUAUAGCAUGCAUAGAUGCUACAACAAUCUGGAUUCCUAUAGUAUGCAGAUUUUGUUAGUUAUUUGGUGAAUGUAAUACUACCACCUAGUUUCCACUACCAGUAAAAGAAGAGAUUUCUCUAUGAUGUCAGAAGCUAUCAGUGGGAUGACCCUUACUUGUACAAGUUGUGUUGAGAUCAUCUGAUUAGAAGAUGUGUUCCUAACCAAUAAAUUUUUAAUAUUUUACAGUCUUGUCAUGCUACAACAUAUGGUGGAUACUUUGGAGGACACAAAACAACAGCAAAAAUUCUUCAAACGGUUAUUAUUAGCCCUAUAUUUUCAAGGAUGCUUACGAGUUUUUUAAAUGUUGUGGCAGGUGCCAAAGAACAGGAAACAUCUCUCAAAAGCAUGACAUUCCAUUAACCAACAUCUUAAAGAUUGAACUUUUUUAUGUAUGGGGAAUAGACAUUAUGAGACCAUUUCCACCCUCCUUCGGAAACUUAUAUAUCUUAGUUGUUGUGGACUGUGUAUCCAAGUGGGUAGAAGCUGCAGUAUUGCCAACAAAAAAAAAAUGAUAAGGCAAUGGUGAAGUUUCUUUAGAAGAAUAUUUUCUCAAGGUUUGGCACUCUUAAAGCCAUAGUCAGUGAUAAAAGAACACAUUUUUACAACAUGAUGUUUGUUGUAGCAUUGGCAAAGUAUAAUAUCAAGCAUAAAGUUGCUACAGCAUUUCACCCACAAAAAAAUGGUUAGACAGAAGUGUCCAUCGGGGAGAUAAAAAAUAUUUUGGAGAAAAUGGUGAAUCCCAAUAGAAGAAUUGGUCCCUUAGAUUAAAUGACUUCUUAUGGGUUUACCGAACAACUUAUAAAACCCCACUUGGCAUGUCUUCAUACAUAAUUAUUUACUGGAAAACAUGCCAUUUGUCGUUAGAGCUAGAGUACAAAGCAUAUUGGGUAAUAAACACAACUGAACAUGGAUAUUAUUGCUACAACAGAAUAAAGGAAGUUACAUCUUUGUGAGACAGAAGAGUUAAGAUUGUUUUCCUAUGAAAAUUCAAGAAUAUACAAGGAGAGGAGCAGGCAAUGUCAUGACAAGGAAAUCCAACAGAGGGAGCUCAUUCCAAAUCAACAAAUCUUGCUUUAUCAUUCAAAACUAAAGCUCUUUCUUGAAAAAUUAAAGUCUAGAUGGUCAGGGCCUUUCAAACUUAUCAAAGUUUAUCCUGACAGGGCUACUUUAAGAUGAAAAGACAGGCCAAGAAUUCAAAAUGAAUGGACAAAGAGUAAAGUAAUACAUUGGAGUUGCUGUGAACAAUCCAAGGGAGGAUUUGCUCUUAAGGACCCAACUUGAGCAAUCAGGGAUGGUCACACUGAAAGACUUAAAAUCAAGCGUUGAUUAGAAGGCAACCUAUUAGAGGAAGUUGUUUUAAGUUUUUUUAAGCAUUAAAUUUAGUUUUAAAAUUUGUUUAAUUUUUCUUUUUGUUAUUUUAAUUGUACGUCUAAUUUCCUUAUUUUUUUAUUUCCUUAUGUUAAAUUGCGGUAAGUAUAAGUUGAUAUAAAAAAAAUGUGUGGACAAAGAGACCAAAAGGAAUUGCUGCAAUAUCAUUUACAGCAUGGUAGUUAGAAGAUGGUUCUCAAACAACAGAGGCAUUUAUCGUUGUUGUUGUACCAACAGAUUGGUUGUUAUAGCAACGAUUUUUACCACUGCACUGUCAGCUUUGGAUUUUUACUAUUAGAGGGCUAACACACUCAUGUCACAGAUCAAAAUUUAUGACAAGGAUGAUUCAACAAAACCUGAUUUACCGUGACAUAUAUCCUUUGCUUUCUUUUAAAAUUUUGUUUAGAAUUCAAAGAAUAUUUCCAAGUUUAUCCUAUUAAUUACCUUUCUCUUUCCAUUUUUCUUUUGCUAUAAAUUAGGGCUUUACUUUCACUUUGAAUAUUUGAAAUUCACUAUUGCUCUUUCUCACCCCAUCAGUAACUUUCAACUUCUUUACCAUUCUCAUGUUCUAUUCUUUUAAGCAAAACAAAACUCUGUUCAAAUUGCUAUGCCAAAAAUUAAAGCACGUGCUAGUAAAUUGAUAAACCCCAAGUGUUUCUACAGUUUUAAAGCUGAGGAAAAAUUUAAAGACAUUAUCGAGCGUCGAAAAAUUCUGGAAGAAAAGAGAUUUCAAUUUCUAAAAUAGCCAAAGGGGAUGAUAAACAACAUAUACAUUGUUGUAGCACGAAGAGGAUGGAUCAAGUUUUGUGCUCACCCCAAAGACUCCGUCAUUCCGGUCAUUAAAGAGUUCUAUUCCAACAUGUUACAACAAGACCAACACAACAUCUUUGUGUGGCAAGUGCAAGUACCUUUAAACUCUCGAGUUAUUAAUGUUUUUUAUAACUUGCCUCCUGUGAUUGAUUGUGAGUACACUAAAUUUGCUGAGAACAUGACUGUAAAUAGGUGGGGGGAGGUUCUUAAAACCUUCACUAUUCAAGGUAGUAAAUGGAUAAAUGAGGAGGGUAUAGUGGUCAAUAAGAUAGACUUAAAGCAUAUUGCUAAGGUUUGGGUGAAAUUAUUAAAAUCUAGACUAAUGUCAGUUACCUACACUACAACAGUUUCUCAAGAUAGAUUCAUACUGCUAUAUGUUAUAGUAAUGGGUUUAGUCAUAGAUGUUGGAAGGAUUAUUGAAAAAGAAAUUAGAGAGUGUACAAUAAAGAAGUAAAAAUCUAUUGCCUUGCUGUUUCCUUAACUUAUCAUAGGCAUUUGUGUGGACUCUAGGGUAAAAUUUGAGGCAAGUGAUGAAAUAGUGAAGAAUGAAGGGCUAUCACUGCUAGAACAAUUGAAUGAAUUGCUGUGAUAUCCACUGCUGCAGCAACCCUAGAGCACUCUGCUGCAACUAAAGUAGAUCAAGCCACGAGGAUUGAGCAAAUGUUGCAGGAGCUCAGUGAUAGCAUAAAUGCAUAUGUCCAAGCACAAAAGGAAGAAAAUCAAAGAUUUUGGACUUACUUAAUACAUCUUGAAGCAAAGAAGCAUCAAUUUGCCAUAUAUAUGAAGAGUAAACAUGCAAAUUUCCCUAAGUCAAGCUGCAACAAUUUAAUUUUUCAGAGAGCUGAGAAGGUUAUUCCAGUAUGAGAAAGUGAAGAAAGAGAGAAUGAAUGAGAGUCAGCAGAAGAGCAGCAAUAAGAAAAAGGGGAGGUUGUAGAUGUUGAAACAGAAAAAGAAGAAGAGAGUGAAGAGGUGGAAAAAGAAUAGGAAAAUGAAGAGGAACCACCAAUUGUGACUUCAAAUAACAAGGGUAAAAAAAAGACUUUGAUCGAUGAGGAAUCCAAGCAAGAGGAAGAAAAGAACAUUGUUGUAGCUUUAGAGGAGGCCAUAAGCAGAGUCAUAUAGGCAAAAGAAACAAAGAUGAGUUUGAGGGAAAUAAUUGCGAGCAUCACUGUUGAGCAACCAGCAGCAAUAACUCCUUUACCAACUGCCACAAAGAAAACUCCCACCAAGUCUCCUGUACCAACUCCCACCAAAACUCGCAUUGCUAUAGCACCAAAAGAAUCAGAACUUAAGAAAACAAAGACAACUGUGCCCAAAGUCACAGAAGGCGCUAAAACCCUUCAAACUAGCCUAAACAAGAGUCAGAAAAAGAAAUAGCCAGUUGCUGUACCAUUAGGUUCACCAAAGGAACGUUUGAGAAGUGGAAUCAUAGAAUAAGUGAACAUUUUCAGCAUGUCCUGCAGUAGAACUUCAAACAAUAAAGGGAGUAUCCCCUGCCUGCCCAGUUUAAUUUUGCUAUUUCAAAAAAAAUUCCUUUCUUUUAUUUAUUUUAUCUUGUUUAUUGAACAUUUAUUUUUGAUAAUGUAUGCAUGUCUAUCUUUAAAUCAUUUUGUGUGCAUGUGAGGACACCAUGCUUCUCAAGUUUGAGGAGGUUGUGCUACGGUGUAAUGUGUCUAUGAAUGAAUGUGUUUGUGUUGUGUGUGUAGCUUUGUUUAUCCAUCAUUUUUAUUUGGAUUAGAAAACCCAAUAAGGAUAAAUUGAGUGUUGAAAUGGGGAAUGAAUUACUACCAAGCAUAGACAGUUUAUAAAUGAAGGUUGAAACUCUAUCUGAACAAUUAGGUUUUGGUUGAGUUUUGUGAGUAUGUUGUACCAAAAUCAGAUAAAACAACAAGGUUUAAAAUAUCUCAAGUUGGGGGAGGGGGGCCUAAAAAUUUUUUCAAAAUUAUUACAAGUGUGCUGGUUAUAGAAUAAAAUUAUGCUCCAAUGACUUAGUUGUUGAGUAACCAGGGCUAAGUAUGUACCACAUAUGCAGACCUGAGUAAAAGGGUAGUGAGAGUUAUAAGCAUUACUUUAGCAACUAUUUUUUUUUUUUAAAAAAAAAGAGAAGAGCAAGAUAGGCCCUCUGUCUAGGAUAUUGAGUAGCAUGUCUAUUUAUGCAACCCAUGUUCAGCCUUGAGUUAAAGGUGUCUAUAGAUAAGACUAUGUUAUAGCAUCUUAGAUGUUUUUGGUGUAACAACUCUAAUAUGUACAUUAGUCAAGUAAUUGAGUGUUAUUAUUACAAAUGAUAGACAUUCACAUGAAGAAUCAAUGUUACACUGAAAGGUAUGACACUGAAAAAAAAAAAUUUUGUUGUAGCACAGUUUGAAGUCAUUUCUUAAUUUUUGUUCCCUCAUAAGAGGAAAUGUUUGUUAUUUGAUCUUUAAGUCAUAUUUGAUGCUUGUGUGAUACUGCAACAAAUCUGGAGUUGGAUCAAAGUGCCACACACACACUUUGGACAGAAAAAGACAUAAGUCUAGAACUAGAAUUGUUUAUGGCAAUUUUUCAGGUUUAAGAAUGUGAUAUAUGUCAAGAUCAAGCGCUUACCGCUAGGUUAAAAUCUUAAGUUGAUAGCCAAGGUGCAACUUUAUUUCCUUAUACCAUGGAAGUGCACAGUCCCACACUAAGCGGCGGGUGGGCAUGACGGGCUGCACACAUUUGUAAUUGUACUAAUGGGCUGGGCAGUUAUGCCCUAGGUAACCUUACUGCCACCUGUGGACAUGACGGGCUGCACACAUUUGUAAUUGUGCCAGUCGGCAUCCCACACUAAGCGGUGGGUGGACAUGAGAGGCUGCACACAUUUGUAAUUGUACCAACGAGCAAGGCAGUUAUGUCCUAGGUAACCUCACUGCCACCUCAAUGGAAUUACACGGAAGGAUGUUACACCUACAAGCGCACAAAAGAAUUGCUAGGGCCCUAUAACCCAAACAAUCCCCCUCCCACAAAAUUGCUUAUGUGGCGGCUUGAAUCCAGGAUCUUGUUCUGAUACCAAUUGUUAGGAUCAAGCACUUACCACUAGGUUAAAAGUUUAAGCUGAUAGCCAAGGUUCAACUUUAUUUCCUUAUACCAUGGAAGCGGAGAGCCCCACACUAAGUGGUAGGUGGACAUGAAGGGUUACACAUAUUUGUAAUUUUGCCAACGGACCGGGCAGUUACGCCCUAAGUAACCUUACUGCCACCUUAAUGGAAUUACAUAGAAAGAUGUUACACUUACAAGCGCACAGAGAAUUGUUGGGGCCUCAUAACCCCAACAAUCUGAGGUGCAAUAUGAUGCCUUUGAAACAUAGCACCUACAUUAUGCAUAAAACAAACCUAGAUUAAUUUAACACAUUUAAUCUGUUAUAACUAUAUAAUUUUGUAAAAGCAAAAGAAAAUAUUACAAUUAUAGUAUGAAUUGCUUUGUGAAAAUGUCGAAUGUCUCAGAAGCGGACAGUUGAGGCUCCUGAAACCACCAAACAAAAAUAACUCUUUAAAUUAAUCACCUUAAGAAACUUUACUCAACCAAUUCUUAAACUUACCCUAAAAUCACACUUUCAAACUUCAUAGUCAAUUUUUAUUUUCUCAACAGUUAACAAUUCUCUUGUUCUACCCAUUAUGCACGUGAUCAUAUUCUUGAAAGAAAUUAAAUCCCAAAAUUAGCCUCAUACUAUUUCUUCCUGUAGCAUAAGCUUUUCUGUGUGUGUAUAAAUAUAUAGACAGUCCUAUCAAUGUUAAGAGCUCAAUAUUUGAAUGUCAAUUAAUAUGUGAUUCAAUUAUUGGAGGAUAAAAUAAUAAUUUUAAAAGUUAUAAAAUUCAUUGUCCAAUAAAUCAAUGAAUUAUAAUAAUGUAUUCUCAAAAGUUAGAAGUUAAAUAUUGACAUUAUUAAUAUUAUUUGUUAAACUUUAAACCUUUUGGUCUUACAACAAGAGGCGAUCGUAAGAUUCUUAUAUGUUUCUGGUUAUAAAAUAUACCUGGAUUACGUCAGUGUCAUUUGGCAUUAGUGAGGGAAUAGCAUCGCCCAUUGCAGCAAGCAGUCGACCAUAUGUGAGGCAAGGUUCAUUUUUAACAGCUUGGAUAAAGCUAGAAGUCAUAACACCUGUGACAUCUUUGCCUGAAAAAGCCUGCAUGCAUGUAUCAUUCCAACCAACUAAAUUAAACCAUUUUUAAUUUUGAUACAUACAUAUAUACAAACAUACAUGCAUGCAUACCUAGGCUAAAGAAAGUUGAGGAACAAAAUCCUGCAUAUAUAUAUAUUUUUUAAAAAUUUACAUAUUCUCGUAUUUAAUAGAAAUCUAUCUCCACUUCGUUAAAUCUUAUUUGAGAAAGAAAAAUUCUUCAGCCUCCAUAUCUCUAAUGGGGAUUCUAACCGUGAUAGUAGUAGUCCACCAUUAGGAAUAUGAUCCAUCUCUUUUAUAGCCAAGUUUGUUAAAUAUAUAUAUCAACUAGGGAUGGCAAUGGGGUGGAGAGGUCCACCCCAUUCCCCACCCCAUUAAAAAUUUCACUUCCAUUCCCUACCUCAUCCCUCAAUAAAUUUAGUGGGCUGGGGAUGAUGAAUCCUUAUGUGGGGAAUUAUUUCCCCAUCCUCACCUCAUUAUCUAUUUACUUAUUUUAUAAUGAGUAUAGGUAAAUAAUUUCAGUAAAUUCAUAAUAAGAAACUUAAAUAAAAUCGUUACCACAUUACAAAGUAUUUAAAUUAUUUAAAAAAAUCUCCAACAAAAUGAAACAACGUCUUGAAAUAAUAUCAAAACAAAAAUGUUUAAAGAGAGCAGUACGUUGAGAGAAAAAAAUAAAAUAUAAUAAUGUUUUAGGGUUGAAAAAGAAUUAUAAUGUAGCGUUUUAUUUUAGUUACAACCUGUUUAUAUUAGGUAAAAAUAAAAAGAAAAUUUAUCAUGCAAUAUUAUUGAACAAAAAUUAAAAAAAAAACAUAUAAAAUGGGAUUGGGGUGGGGGUAGGGUAGGGAGUGUAAAACCAAACGUUAUCCCAUUAAGAAUUUAGGGAUUAUGUUCCACCCAUUUCCCACCUAAUUACCCAAAAAUUAUUUAAAAUUCACCUCAUCUGAGGUGGAGCCCCGUGAGACUCUAAACUGGUGAAAGAUUUAGCCAUCUCUAAUGUCAACAUAUAAAAGAACAAGAAAAAAUAUUGUAUGUGUCCAAAAAGUUGCUCACCGAGGUACUUGCAGAGGUUUGAUUAUCAGAGCAAGCACUAAACGAGAGGGCUAUCCCGCCGCUUGUGCCUUUAUAGCAAGCUGUUGGAAUUCUUUGAUCUUCCCAUUUGUACUCUUCACUAGUAAAAAUACCGUACAAUAAUUAGCCAAAUUUUUCAUAAUGAUUUCUUAUUAUUAAUUCAUUAUAAGGGAGAUUAACACCUUUCCAAUAACGAUUUUCAGCUUUCCUAGUCUUACAAAUUUUAAAAUAUUGCAAUACCCUCUUGUGUGAAAGCCUUCAUUGAAAUCCGAAUCAUAAAACAAUCAUCUUUUUUCAAGAAUAAAUAUGCAUCGGCGAAGAACCAGGACGACUAGCUUGGGAUAAAGACUUCGGAAAAACUUCAAUCAAAUCCUUGUAAACAAGAAAUGCUAAAAUUGGCAUUUAAAUAUUAGGGAUGGCAAUAGGGAGGGGAUGCGAUGGGAGAGAACCGACAUCUCUGUACUCACACCCGAUAUUUUACAUAUGUCCCCACCCCCUCCCCGUCCUAGUUAGAAUUGGUUGAGGGAAUCUUAAUCCCUUCCAUGAAUAAUACUAGGAGAUCUCCAAUGGUCUCUUAUCCCCAAAUAACUGAUACAUUUUUAGUUUUUUAUUUUAAUUUAAUUAUAUUAACAUAAUAAAUUUAUUAAAAAAAAAAAACUAGAGUUAAGGCGGCUGUUGUUGUCGAAACUUAGAAAUUAGGUUUUAUGAUUUUUCUUUGACUUUUAUCUUAUUAGAUAAAAGCUUAAAAUAUUUAACAAAUAUUGUUAUUUAAAAUAUUUUAGGCCAACAGAAUCUUGUCCGGCCUUUUUAAUGUCCUAAUUAAAUAGAAAUUUAAGAUUACAACUAGUCAACCAUGCCCCAAAGUUUUUUAAUAUAUAUAUAUUUUGAUAUUUGUUAUUUAUACUAAUAUUUAAUAUUUUACAAUUUAAAUUUUAUUAUUUAUUCACUAAUAAUUUUAAAAAAUAAAAAUUAAAUUAAAAAUUAAAUGGAGAAAUGUGUAGGAGAUGGGGAUUCCACCUCAUGCCCGUCCAUUCCUGGAAUGAGAAGCUCGGUAAAAAUCAUUCAUUCCCGUCCACAAAUGAGAAAUUGGAUAUAAAAUCGUCCCCAUGCUUUCUCUGAAUGGGAAAAACUCCUAGGGUCCCCGUUCCCAUGAGAAUUUCUGCCAUCCCUAUUAAAAAUGUUAUUUUGACCCAGAUGAAAAAAAAUUGAUUUAAUUUUUAAACAAUUUAAUUUUUUCUUUUCCCUUAAUAUUUCUUAAAUCUGCCCAACCAUUCUCUAUAAAUUACAAAAAUAAAAAUUUAACUUUUUUUUUUAAUUAAUCGAAUGUUUUAAAUAAACAACAAAAGCACUACUGACAACUUUGACUAGGAUUUUUGUGGUUCAUCAAUUUUCAGUUUUGCUUUAAUUUGAAGGAACUAAUCACUUAUGUAUAGUAAGGUUUAUGAGCAUACAAUUUUUUUUCCCUAUAUAUAUUAGUCUAGGCCGCUAUCAAAUUAACUGCUAGCUUGACCACUGGAAACAUUGUAUUAUAUUUUAAAACAUACCUGAAAGUAAAUAGUAAAACCAAAAACAAUCCAAAAAAUGAGUCAAUCUCCUUAUUAUAAAAAAAUUCAUAUAUAUCUAAAUAGCUAAAAAGAAUUCAUAUAUAUUUAAAUACCCGUUGAUCUUGCACACAAAUGGUAGGUCCAAUACAGUUCCACUGUAGCAGGAAUCAAUGAUGGCAUGCAGUUUUGCACCACGGGGCAGUGGCCUUACAAUGGUGGCAUUGAUUUCAUCAUCAAUUAUAGGGCCUUCGGUCUCAUGAUCAAGCGGACAGAUGGUUUCAUCAAACCCAUCAAGCUCAUCUUUGUUGUAGUCCUUUUGCCUUGAUCCAUGGCCUGAGUAAUGAAAUACCAAUGAAUCUCCUGGCUGGCAAUCUUGCGCUAGCCAUCGCAUGGCCGUUCGAAUGUUUUGCUUUGUUGGAAUCCUAUAUGGAUUUUUCUCUUCUUCUGUCAAAUUAUACGAAUAUUUUGUUCAUAUUGGCGGAUAUUAUAUAAGAAUGUAAGAGUGAUGGUAAAUGUUUUCUUAAAUCAUUAUAGUUUUGAGUCAACUACUUAGUUAAUUCCUGUAUUUUCAAAGUUAUCUAAAAGAAUUAUAUUAUAUAUUUGUUUUUGUUAAAAUAUAUUUAAUUUUCAUUUAUUUUAAACGGGUUGCAUGUCAAAUUUGUUUGAACUCAAAAUAUCCGACAUCAAUACUAUUUCAACCUUGAAAAUUUUUUAAUCAAGUUCCAGUUUUGUCAACUCCUCUGCCUUAUAAAAAAAAAUAAAUCAAAGAAAAAGGAAAAUUAAAAUUACAGCUGCAAAGAAACAACGGGAUGUUUCAAACAAUUUGAAAAAAUACAAAGGUUAACUGAAAAAUAAUUGACUCAAACUGUAGGAACGAACAGAACAUGUACCCAUAAAAGUAAUCGAAUGCCAUUUAUUGGUAACUGAAAAAUAAGAUCGAGCUUUAAACGGAAGGUAUUAGACAAAAAAAUGCAAUAAUGCUAGCUUAUUAACUUAGUAGAGAGCAAUUUAUACCUGUCAAGAUGACUAUGCAGUCACUAGGAAACCCUAACAUGCGAACCAGAAGAAACCACAUACUCUUAACAUCAUUUAUGCUACCAGUAAGCAUGUAAUUUGUAUCAUUAUAUGUUACUCCACAUAGCAAUGCUUUUUUCCUCCCAUAAACCGGAGGAGGAGCCCACGCAGGUCGCGGUUGGUCUAUGUAAUAAUUAUUACAGCCUUGUCGAGGAUACUUGCCGUUUCCUGGACCAGCUGCCACAUAAUUGCUCGGCACUGUGGUGACAACGUUAUGGUGUGGUUGGCUCACUGAGCCAUAUACUUGAGCCCAUCGCUGAGAGGAUGAUGGAAAGCUCGUUACAGAUCGGCACGCAUGGCAUCGAGCGGCCACUGCCUGUCGUGGUAGCCAUAGUUGCCGCCCACAUCCGCCACAUCUUUCAACUCUACUUGUCAUAUUGAUUUGUAUAUGCUUUAGGCUAGAGAGGGCAACAAAUGAAAAAAACUCAUAUGCCUUUUCAAGGAUGAAAAGGCAGUGAAUGGGAGAGAGCUUUGGUAAUUAUUUGAUUCUUUCGCCAUCAUGCAUUGAUUUCAUUCCUUUGGUCACUAAAGAACCAGAUUCGCAUAUAUUUUUUAGAGGCAGAAUAUAUAACGAUUCUUUAUAUCUUUCGGUUUCGACUUGUCUAAGUAAUGACUAAUGAGGUCUUUUCGUGUGAUAAAAUUUAAAAUUGCAACCUUUAUUUCUAUAAUUCCGCAGAAAAGUUUUUAGUUCAAAGAGAAAUAGAAAAUAAACUCACAAAAGUUUUCUGAGACUCCUUAAUUAGAUAGUUUCUAUUUCAUUUCUGCAUUAGUUAAUUGCAGAUUUAAUCACAAUGUUGUCUCGAAAAGAUGCCAAGCAACUAGAUUCCAUUAGGGCCACGUUUAUUCAAUUACCGAGAAAAGAGGUAAAGGAAUACAUCGUAGGUAUAAAGGCCACACCUUAUCUCUUGCUUUUUCAUGUUAAACUUUGUUGAUGAAUGGUUCAAGCAUCAGUUCGGUCCAAAAUUCUCUUUGGCUUUUCACACUAUGUAAGGAAGAGUUUUCAAUGAAAUUCUUUAUUCCUAAGGCGAAUUCUAAUUAUUACCUUGAAGUUGAAGCUUUCUAGUUAGACCGCUAGAACAGAUUUUUCUGAUAGCUUGAAGUUGGAGCUUUCUGGUUAAACCGCUAGAACAGAUUUUUCUGAUAGCUUGAAGUUGAAGCUUUCUGGUUAAACCGCUAGAACAGAUUUUUCUGAUAGCUUGAAGUUGGAGCUUUCUAGUUAGACCGCUAGAGCAAAUUUUUCUAACCAUAAGGUUCUAGUGGUGAUGGCAGCAUAGUCCUAGCGCGACAGCCUUUACCCACGCCAGCGACAGGUUUAUAAAAUUUUAAUUUUAGGUUGAAUAUAGUAAUUAUUUUAUUAAUAAUUGCUUUAAACUCUUAUCUUCAAAUAUAUGGCAAAAGAAAAUAGGGUGAAUUUCACCCGACCCUCUUAUUUGACUGAAAUACGUCAAUUUAACCUUCAAAAGUAUGAAAACUUUAACUUACCUCCAAACGCCAUUAUUUUUAACAAUUGAUUAAUUCGGGACCAAUAUGAACCCAAAAAGUUUUAAUGUUGAGGGCCGAUUUAUUUUAGAGAUAAGUACAGUCUCAAAUAUAUUUUACGUUUGGGUUCAAGAAUCCGAACUCAAAAUAUUUCUUAUUUUAAAAUUAAAAUAUAUUUUAAAUUCACACAACUGAAAAAUAUUUAAUUUAAUCAAAUAAUAUAUAUAUAUAUAUAUAUAUAUAUAUGACAGAGAUAAAACCCGAAGUCCACACUUACCUCUCUCAAAACGCCGGUUAGACGCCGCCAAAUACCAAGCUUCGCCGCCAACGUCGCUCUUCCCUCUCGCUUAAAGACCGAGCUUUGCCGCAAGCUGCUAACCUUUCUCGCCGGACUCAACACCCCUCGCCGCCUUCGCCUGCGACGAGGCCGUAAUCUGUGAAACUUGGUUGAAUAUUACUAAGUGGUGUGUUCCAUCCAUUAGCCUUAGAAAUUAUUAUAUAAGUUUGUUCAUCGAUGUUGGAUUUGUUAUUACGGAUAUGCUUGAUGGAUGAUCAUCAAUUCGCUUUGUGUUGAAAUAAUCUUGUUAUUAAUUACGGAUAUGCUUGAUGGCUACAUUGACACUUUUCUCAUGUUUAAAUUUCAAUUCAUGCCAAAUUUUCAUUAAACAAAGAUAUCUUUUUUAUUGUUAAUUUGCAAGGGGCAACUAAUCAUCGUUCCGUUUUGGUCAAAUUAUAUUAGAAAUUAUAAUAAGUCAAAUUGGUCGUACUUGAGUCGUUUUGUAAUUUCGGUUUAGUUAGGAUUUAAUUUAUUUUCUUUAUUUUUUUACGAUUAUAAUCAAGUAAAUUUUAAGCUGCCUCAUCUUAAAAAAAAUUAAGUGAUCCUAAUAAAUAAUAUUCCAUUUAUUUCCCUAGGUACGGCAACAAAGCCUUGCGCCUUGCUCGUGCCCUUAAAAAAAAAAAAAAAAAGGCAGUAUCGUCCACAGCCGCCAGCUUCAGUUUAAUGACCGGAAAAAAAGAAAAAUUAUUUUGAGAACUUGUUAACAAAGAUGGACAGUGUCUUUGUUAACAAAGAUGGUAUGCGUGUUCAAACGUUUGUCAUUCUUUUGGUUAAUAUACUUAAAAUUUUCAGUUUAUUUUAUUUCUAAUCAGUCGGUAGUAAUCAAGAUUACUUGAAUGUAUAGCCAUUGCAAGAUCCACUUCACAUGUGCCACCGGCUCAUUACAUUGUCAAAAUAAAAUCAUUUUCAGUACUUGCUGAGAAAGCAGUUGAGGAGAAAUACGAAUCAGGAGCAUUUGAAGCUGGAGGCUACAAGUGGUAUGUAUAUACGUAUAUAAAUUUCUUUUUACCUUUAUCGCUGUAAAUUAAAUAACUUAUGCCACUACCUUUUCUUUUGUUCUUUUGUUAUUAUUAUUAUAUCAUCUUGAUAUAUAAUCAAACAACUCCUUAACUUAUGGGUUGAGUGUCAUUUUGGGUAAAAUCUUUUGGGCCGAAACAUAAGAUUUGGGGUUCGAACCUAUUUUAUAAAGAUGGAAGAGAAUUGGGUUUGCCAUUAAGCUACAACAAUAAUAAGAAAAAUACUACAACUCAACCCUCAUCCCUAAUGUGAUCAGGAUUCGAGCCUAAUUCUUAAACCAUAGUCUUUGCUUGAUAGUAUCAUAUAUUAGUGUAUUUAUGUUGAUUAAUUAAUUAUUGCAGGCAACUUGUUUUAUAUCCAAAUGGAAAUGAGAGCAAAAAUGUGAAAGACCACAUUUCACUCUACUUAGCAAUGGCAGACACAAGUUCACUUACUUUCGGUUGGGAAGUCUAUGCAGUUUUUCGUCUGUUUUUACUUGAUCAGAACCAAGACAACUACCUGGUAGUUCAAGGUUAUAUUAUAUUCUACUUUUGAAAUGUUAACCUUGAUCAUAUUUUCCAAUGAUCUACGUUUGACGAUUUUGACGAUAUCAUAUCGUUGUAAAUUUUAUGUAGUGUGAUCGUCUGUAUUUUACAAAUUAAAUACAGUCUAGCUGGUACAUGUAAAGUUUUACAGAAAAUAUUGCAGCAGAAACUCGUUUUAGUCUUUUAGAUACAGAAUUGUAUAAUUGGUGGUCGCUUGUAAUGUGAUAGAUGCCAUUGGAAAGGAAAGAAGGUUUAAUGGAUUGAAGCUUGAAUGGGGUUUUGAUCAGUUCAUCCCGCUUAAAGCUUUCAACGACGCUUCAAAUGGAUACCUUGUCGAGGAUACCUGUGUUUUGGGAGCUGAAGUCUUUGUUAAAGAAAGAAACAUAGUCAAAGGAGAGUGCCUAUCCAUGGAAAAAUAUGCAUAUAGUUCUAAGUAUGUUUGGAAGGUUGAAAACUUUUCAAAGUUGGACA
This 29482-nucleotide long non-coding RNA is filed under the name Citrus maxima (pomelo). RNAcentral's name for it is "long non-coding RNA (CMAX_LNC001392)". The record is from RNAcentral. Lineage: Eukaryota; Viridiplantae; Streptophyta; Magnoliopsida; Sapindales; Rutaceae.